This 208-nucleotide unclassified non-coding RNA is filed under the name uncultured Agaricomycetes. Its description in RNAcentral is "sequence contains ITS1". Lineage: Eukaryota; Fungi; Basidiomycota; Agaricomycetes. The record is from RNAcentral.
ACGAGUUUUGAAGUGGGAUUGAUGCUGGCCUUCCGAGGCAUGUGCUCGUCCUUGCUCAUCCACUCACAACACCUGUGCACUGUUGAGGUGUGGCCCCCCUUCAAUGGAGCCGUUCCCCCUAGGGGUCGAGCCGGGGUCAGGCCUUCUUCGUCACAAACAACUUGUAAUGUCUAUUCGGAAUGUAAUGCUUCAUGUUAAUGAAACAAUA